Molecule: long non-coding RNA, 8371 nt
Organism: Acinonyx jubatus (cheetah)
Lineage: Eukaryota; Metazoa; Chordata; Mammalia; Carnivora; Felidae
Exons: 3
Source: RefSeq, a predicted model, not a curated record
UCUGAAGUUUGAGGAGACACAAACAUUCAGUCUGCAGCAAGCUUCCCGCUUCCAGCCGGAGUUUUCCUGAUUUUCAAUGGCAGAAUUAAACUCAUCUUAGACAUUGCAGCAAAUUCACACGAAAGCCCCUGUCCAUAUUGUGAAUGGCAACACUGUAAGCUCUGUGCUUGAACCCUGACGAAACUCCUACAAUCCUCAGGCCGAGCUCUAUGCAGAACAAGUGCCGAGGCUCCUUGUAUCGCCCCCCCUCCCCCCUCCUGUCUCCCUCUCCCCCUCCCCCCAGCACCACCUCUGUGUUUCGUUUGUGCUCCUUACGGUCUUUCACACACCCUGCAGGAUUCACCUGCUCCAGCACACCAUCACUCUUGCUGGCUUCUCUGCCCACCAUUUCCUGCACCUUUUAUGUGGUUUUGAUGUUUGCAGCCGGGGGACCCAGGACCACAGCUCAGGUGCCUGGAGAGACCCAUCCAGACCCUUAGCCUCCAGCUAGUCCACGGGGCCAACUUCUCCUUGGACCCCUCUAGCCUGAGCAACUGUCCAAAGCUCCAGGCAGUUUCCACUCCUGCCCUGAAGAGGCGUGUGCUUUGCAGGAACUUCUGACCAAACUAGCUGCUUCCGCUCAGCUGAGGCGCACAAAGGCAGUCACACUGAAACAGGCUUAUGUGUGUAGAUGGCUGUGCAGAGCAGAACCCGAGCUAAAGGGUAUACUUCCUGGCCUGAGGCAUAAACACCACAUAUACUUUUUUUUCUCCUUUCAUAAGGGAUAUUUUUCAGGCUUGUAAUGAAGUGUGGUCAGAAUGUAUUCGCUUCUAGAAUAUUAAGCCAGGCAGAGGUUUUUUUCCUUUUUUCUCUUUUAUACAUGUGAAUAAAAGUGGAGUAAACAGAGCAUACUGAUAAAUAUUUUACACAAAUGUCAGUGGAUGUAAUUCUAGAGCAGACAUUUUUCUGGGGGAUUUGGUGUUGGUUUAAAAGGAAAGGCAGGAGAUCAGACUAGGUACCUUUAGCAGUAGCUUCACAGAGUUUGGGUUGGGAAAAGCACAGAAAUGGUUUUUUAAAUUUUCAGGAUUUCCACUUGGAAGUUACCAAGGUUGAAAAAUACCAAACUGCAGAAUGCUAAAACUGUAGAUUCUUUUGGUCUUCCUUACGAGGAUCCCUGUUUCUGUGCCUGCUCUCCAACUGGCUGAAGAAUCAAGAAAAAAUGUUGUGCGGGACACUUGGGUGGCUCAGACGGUUAAGUGACUGCCUUUGGCUCAGUUCAUGAUCUCACGGUUCAUGGGAUUGAGCCCCACAUCAGGCUCUGUGCUUGGUUCAGAUCCUCUGCUUCAGAUCCUCUCUCUGCCUCUCUCUCUGUCCCUCUCCUGCUCAUGCUCUCAGUCUCUCAAAAAAAAAAAAAAAAAAAAAAGUUGCAGAUGGGCUUAACCCUUCCCUGUAGAGCAGCUCUGACAAAGGUCUUUUCCUGUAUGAAAUUCCCCAAGAUUUCAGAAGAUAAAAUGUGUGUGUGUAUCUCUGUGCGUGGGCACAAAUACAUAUAUGCACACGCAUACCUGUAUGCAUGUGUUUGUAUAUACAUACACAUCUGCACAAGUGUGUGUAUAUACAUUUCUUUUUCUUCUUGAAACACCCAUUUCCAACCUCCCUGUCCCUACCUGGGCUCAUUUUUGUAAAACCUCCUUGUUCUGUCCCCACCCUUGCAAUUCAAAGGGGCUUUCUUCCUCUUCUGUUGUAUGUGUUAACUCCUGCUCGCUUGUGAUAGGAUGUAUUCAAAUUCGGUGCUCGCAAAAUUCAGAGACCGAUUUUAUUCCACCUCCAGUCUGGGUUUUCCCACGUGUCGGUGCUUUUGAGUUAGUUACCGCUCUGGAAGGUCAGCAGCAAUCACUGGGUGAUGAUUGAUGCGGGGUGCUUGGGGGUAGACAGGGAGGAUCAGGGAGGAUCCAGGAGUGAGCCGUCUUGCAUUUCGUUCUCAUCAUUGCAGAGGAGAACAGUAGUUGCUCAAAUGAGGCCCCGAGGAGAAGGGCCUGGACUCCUACCUGGCCAGUGCCUCAAGGUCAGCUCAUGCCUGUCAUCAGGGAGGGUCUGUGUCUGUGUCUCUGAAUCCCUCCUGUGCUUCUUCUAGUUCUGUUGUGUGGGUUUUUUUUAAGUUUAUUUAUUUAUUUUGAGACAGACCGAGACGGUAUGAGGGGAGGGGCAGAGAGAGAGAGGGAGAGAGAAAAUCCCAAGCAGGUUCCACACUGUCAGCACAGAGUCCGGCAUAGGGCUCGAACUCAUGAAACCACGAGAUCAUGACCUGGGCUGAAACCAAGAGUCAGUCACUGAACCAACUGAGCCAGACAGGUGCCCCCACUUGUAGUCCUAUUUUGAAAGGACUGAGCAACCUCUUCUGCCUACUUCUUGGAUGGGGCUCCUUUCUGAACAUGACUCCAUGUCAAAUACCCUGCCAGGGUGUAGACCACAAUGAGCACCCAGAAAAUGGGGACCUGCUUUAGUCAGCUUGGGCUGCUAUAACAAAGGACCACAGACACAGUGGCUUAACCAACAGGAAUUUAUUUUCUCGGUUCUGGAGGCCCGAAGUCCAAGAUCAAGGUACCGGCAGUGGUGGUUCCUUCUGAGGCCUCUCCCCUUGGUUCAUGGGUGGCUGGCUUCUCUCUGUGUCCUCACAGUGGCCUUUCUUACUUUCCUCUUCUUAUAAGGACACCAAUCAUAUUGGAUUAGGGCCCACCCUUAUGACUUCAUCUUAACUUAAUUAUCUCUUCAAAAACCCCAUCUCCAAAUACAUACAUCAUAUCCUGAGGUACGGGGAGUUAGGAUUUUAACAUAUGAAGUUUGGUGACACAACAGAGCUGCUGUUAACUCUUCCCAGAAAGAGGCUUGAAAUCUUCAAUAUCAUUCUUCUUGACACUCUCCCCAGGAGGUAGUUCUAUGUGGCUGAGAGAGCUCAGGUUCUAGAAUCAGCGGGAACUGGAUUUGAAUCCCAGAUUGGCCCUUUCUAGCUGUGUGCCCUUAGGUCGGUUACUUAAUGUUUCUGAGUUCCAGUUUCCUCUGCUGACAAAUGGGACAAAACCCACACACCUUAGGAGCAGCCCAAGGAUUCAAUAUAAUGACGUAAAAGAGCCUGGCAUGCUACCUGGUUCAAGACGCAUGUCCCCUACCUUACCUCUUGACUCAUUCACUUCUCUGAGGUCCCCAAGCACAUGCCCAUCUAGAGAUCAGACAGGUACAUUUAUUUCUGACCAAGAGAGCAAUUGCCUGCUGGGUCAAUAGCUUAUGCGCCCCUCAGGAUAUCUCAGAACCUCAAGGGAAGGAUCUUUGUCUCCUGGGGCCCUGCGCUGUUCCUGGAUCCCACAUGCACAGCUGAACCUGCUUUGUGCUCCUGGACCUUCCCUCCAGCAGCUCCUUCCCCUGCUGGGCUGGGGGUGGAGGAGGGCUAGGGAGCCUCAACUCCAAGGGCGCUUGUCCCAGGGCAGGCAAGGGGAAGGCAGAGAUCUGGUGGAGAGGCCAACGUGGCCACAGACAGAAAUCGAAAUGCUCUAGCCUUGGAUUGGGGCCAAGGCAAAUCUGCUUGUAUUAGGUUGUCAGAUUCCAGGGAUGAGCAGUUUCCCAGGCUGUGGAAGGUGACCUAUGGCUUGUCGGGAGAGUCAGAAGCAAUUGCUAAGAGCAGUUGAGGAGAGUGAGGGGGACAAGGGAGCGUGCCAGAUUCGCUGGGAGAGCUUGGCUCUCCUUGCUUUAGAAGGCAGUGUAUGGAGGACGUCCCUGAAGACAGGGAAGGAGUUUCUAGAUCAGAAGGCAUGUUGCAGGGCUGCUGGAAUCAGCACUUUCCAAGUACCACCCCCCCCACCCCCCACCCGUUUCUCCCACGCUCUCCUGCUCUGUGGUCGGGGCUCUGGUGGGCAGCAUUUCCUGGCCGAGGAACCGGGGGAGAGAAGAGGUCAGCCCUGGGAAGAGCAUUGCCUGGGCGCAAGGCAGCCCAUGGGUGGUGGUUUUCUCUCUUGCCUCUCUUUUGCCUGUUCCUGCCCUUCCUAGCCUAGUUCCUAACUUCUCCAGAAGGUGCUGAAAUGGGAAAGUUGACAGAGAAGCAAGUAGGAUAAGCUUGGCAAGGGUAGGAACUGUGUUAGAGUUAUUUGGGUACUGUGUCCUUAAAAGUACCCCCUUUCUUGGGGUGCCUGGGUGGCUCAGUCCGUUGAGCGUCGGACUUCAGCUCAGGUCCUGAUCUCAACGUUCGUGAGUUCGAGCCCCGCAUCGGUCUCUGUGCUGACAGCUCAGAACCUGGAGCCUACUUCUGAUUCUGUGUCUCCCUCUCUCUCUGCCCCUCCCCUGGUCGUGCUCUCUCUCUCUCUCUCAAAAUAUAAAUAAACAUUGGGAAAAAAUUAAAAAUAAAAAAGUACCCCCUUUCUUCCCAAUGCAGCAGAAAAGCCACAAAGGUUGGGUAAACACUGGUCAUUCCAUAGCCCAAGCAUCUGCCGGAAGCUCCGCUGGGGAGCGGGGAAGAGAAGUGGUGCACAGGCAGAGGAAUCCCCAGCCCUCUCCCUACAUCCAUGAAGACGCAGAUGGCUCUUGGCCCCACCAUCUCCCACCAAAACGGGUGGUGCGUCCACAGCCCUUUCCCCACACUACUGCAGGAUUAACUUUCUUAAACACAGCUCCGAUCGUACCUCUUGAUUUUAAACGUCUGAUGACUCUAUUGCUGGCCACGUUCAAGGAGUCUACCCCGAAACAUCUGCUUCCUCUCCCAACAUCUUUGACCCUUUGUCCGGAGUCACCCUUUGCUCUGUGUCUUCCUUGGAUGUGCUCUGUAUUUUCUCUCCUGAGCUCUUUGGCUCAACACGUGUCCUUCUCCCGGGUCUCUCGAGACAGCCGAAGAAAGCGCGUGCCCCGCUCUGCGCAUGCGUGGACGAAUUUGCGCGCUGUGUGAUUCCCGGUCCGCUCCCACCAGGGACUCAUGGAACCCAUCGUGGGUCUGUUUGACGGUCACCCCACAUCCGAGUGAUGCAAAACGAGAACAGUAACCCGUCUCAAGAAGAGACUUACAACUUCCCUUUUGAGUCAACUGGAAAUUUGGACAAAACUUCUGUUGACAUUAUAUCUGCCCCUUUCACUUUCGGUUCACGGAGACGCACUGACAUUUCUGAAAGGAUGUGGCUCUUCCUAGUGUGGCAAACGAUACAUUCAUGCCUAUACACUUACAGGCAUGGUCUUUGUUCCUUGUCAUGAUCAAAUGCUCUGUUUUCUUGAUUCUCCAGCCAAAAGUAAUCCUCUUUUCUUUUCAAUUCUUUCAGCACUCCAUUUUUUCUUGAUUCAGUUAACAAACACGCAGGCAUUGUUAUUCUACCAGGCACUGUUAUUUGUACCGGGUGGUGGUCAGCAGGACCAAUUUAUUGGUCAAUAAAUUACGAUGAAAACCCCUGACUUCGUGGAGCUUGUAUUAUCUACAGGUAGACAGGCCCCAAACACAAAAAGCUAACGUGUAUAGUAUGUUACAGGUUGACAGGUCAUGGAGAAUAAAACAGGGAUAGAGCUACGGAGUGUGGGAGGAUGGUAAAGCUUUUAAAUAAGAAGGUUUUGUAAGCUAGACCUAAGCUGGUUUGUAUCUGCUCAGUUCUCAGGUUCUUUUUGGCAGAUGAUGGUGGCCACGAAGAAGUCUGAGCAUUUUGAACAUAUAGCAGCUGAAUCCGGAAGUCUUUGCUGAUUGGGUGAAAGGCAAAGGAGGAUACAGAGUUCUUCAAGCUCGGCUCAAGAGGUACCGGUAGGCUCAAGCACAGGACUCCUCCCUUCGGGAUCAAGAAAUUCACCUGGAGAACCCCGGGGAAGCCCCCAGGUCUCAGAAGCACUGCCUCUCUCACUUCGACCGCUGCUUCAGGCUGAUGCUUUCAGAUCUUCAUAAAGGCACCGAACAAAGCCAGAUGAUGGACAGCUGUUCAGUGACCCAAGCCGGGGGCGCUGACCAUUCAGCUCUUUAGGAAACCAGAUGCUUGGCUGUGGCUUGGAAGCUGGUUUCACAAGGGGGUAUAAAAUGUGUUUCAGUGUAUUUGUUACGAUGCAGGGAUAAAUAUAUUUCCUUAGAUGACAAGUAUUAAAAACUUCAAGACUUUCUCAGGCCGCAACUAAAGGUUUCAAGAGAAGUGUGGAGAAGAGAAGGUUUACUGGGAACUCUGCCCCAGUGUGACUCUUUUAUCACAAAAGGAUUAGUAUAGGGGCACCUGGGUGGCUCAGUCUAAGCGGCCGACUUUGGCUCAGGUCAUGAUCUCACGGCUCAUGAGUUCGAGCCCCGCCUCGGGCUCUGUGCUGACAGCUCGGAGCCUGGAGACUGCUUUGGAUUCUGGGUCUCUGUCUCUCUCUGCCCCUCCUCUGCUCACGCUCUGUCUCUGUCUCUGUCUCUCUCUCUCAAAAAUAAACAUUAAAAAAAAUUUUUUAAAGGAUUAGUAUAGAAGGAUCUAGAGAUUGUUAUGUAUGAUGCCUCAACUCUAACACUUGGCCUGGAACCCACAGGCACCGAAGUUAAGUAAGUGGAUUGGGGGUGGGGGUUGGGGAGGACACUAGGAUUCCAAACUCCUUCAUUCUUCUGGUUCUACAGCCGGCUGUUCAUAGGACCUGAGGUAAGCCUGUUGGCCUCACCACUAUAAACGCAUUCGGGGGGAACGCUCACAGCAAUCUCUUGCAAUAAACACAUGUGUUUGAAAAACCAAGACGAAUGUUUUAAAGACCAUGGCUCACUGUUCAUUCCCACUGAGGUGACCUUCCUGCUCACAACGUUUUCCUUUUUUGGGUCCGAUUCGGAAGUGCUUUCAGUCAACUGUCAGUGCGGAUGGAAACAAAUCUGGAAGAUUUUCUGCUUUCUAUCCUUGUUAAUAAUACUCACAAACAAGGCCCCUACUGCCUUCACAGGAUGGUGGACGGAUAGGAAAUUCUCAUCCUUUCAGGUCUAAAAAUAAGUAUUUGUUGAUAAUCUGGACAAUCUGAUUGCUUGAAACAGCAGCAGCCUGGAGUCUUACCACAUGAAAGAGAAGAGUGCAUUUCCCUGGCCGGGCCCAGGGACACCAGAGUUAAAAUAAAUUUGACCUUUUGAAAAGGCACACUGAGAAACUUGUGUCCGUGGUUUCCACUCUGCGGCCCUCCUGCUUACGGGCCUGGUACUGAAUUUUACAUGAGAUAUUCUAAGUACAUCCUUCAGGCCGAACAUCAUUUAUUUCCUGUUAGGGCUUAAAGUGGAUUAUAUAUGCAGCUUGACCUUUAAAGAACUUAGGACUCAAGUAGGAUUUCUAAGGAUUCACUUAAUGGAAGAUCCUGCAGAUUAAAGGUAGUUCAGUCAAUAAAGAGGAUUUUUUUUUUCCUACUUUGUUGACUGACAGAACUAUUGGUAUUGAAUGGCUGUUUGCUCACGUUGGCCUUCACCCUUUCUUUAAGAGGCAGCUGGCCCGUGGGCUUUGAAGGAGAUGGACUUGGCCCCACAUUCUGGCCUUGCCCCUCACUCUUUGCGGGACGACGGCGGACUGCGCCUAAGCCAGUCCGAUUGUGCAGCACGUGGCAGGGACCACCUCGCAGAGCUGGGGUGGGGGGUUCUCUGGAGACCAGAGACGAGCGAGUUGAUGUCCCUUUCCCCACAGCGGUGUUCCAAGUGACAGUGAAAGCCAGUCUUAGGCUCAAUUCUGCCAGGGGUACAAACGUUUAUUAGCAUGCCGGUAGCAGGUGUAUGACCUGUUCACCCAACCCAUUUUGUAGUGCUCUGACAAGGACCUUGCACGGGAGGUCUGCUCAGGAGUUCAGGCCAUGCCUUCUGGUAGGUCCGCAGGGAACCGGAGGAGCUCAGGAGCAACUGGGAUGCCCUUCGGCAUUAAACUGCUGGAUUUGCCCACGUUUUAAGCCUCGUUUAUGCAAUGGCACUGGAGACUGCACCAUAUUUCUAACCAAUGACCUAUUUUAGAAUACAUCACCUAUUCAUAUCACCAACAGAAAUAUUUCUGGCAUCCCUUAUGCUAACUAAUAAACUCUUCAGUGUCCAGUGACAUACUGCAAUUUAAAUGCCAAGUAACUGCCUCUGAAGGUAUUGAUUCUUGGUUAGGGCGCUUAGUCUGUUGACUACUGCUGUCCUGGAAUACUCACUCACUAGGUGCUCCCAAGGUAUAGAUCAGAGGGAUCUUGGCCAAGUCUCACACUGUUGCUAUUGAAGUGUUUGUAACUUACCCUAUAGGCAAUGUAGCAGAGAUCAAGGGCAAAUUACUCCACCUCUCCCAAUUUCAGCUUCCUCAUCUGUAAAACAUUGAUAGCAAUACCCUCUAGGGGUUUGCUGUGGGGAAUUAAAGGAGAUAAUGUGUACAAAAUAAACAAAAGUGUGUGUGUGUGUGUGUGUGUGUGUUCAUUCGCUGGCACAUAGAGCUUCUAA